This 253-nucleotide ribosomal RNA is filed under the name uncultured bacterium. Its description in RNAcentral is "partial 16S ribosomal RNA". It matches the Rfam family "Bacterial small subunit ribosomal RNA", at positions 524 to 776 of the family's 1533-position model. The record is from RNAcentral.
UACGGAGGGUGCAAGCGUUAUCCGGAUUCACUGGGUUUAAAGGGUGCGUAGGCGGACAGGUAAGUCAGUGGUGAAAUCUCUGGGCUUAACCCAGAAACUGCCGUUGAUACUAUUUGUCUUGAAUAUCCUGGAGGUAGGCGGAACAUGUCAUGUAGCGGUGAAAUGCUUAGAUAUGACAUAGAACACCGAUAGCGAAGGCAGCUUACUACAGGAUGAUUGACGCUGAGGCACGAAAGCGUGGGGAGCAAACAGG